UACAGAGGGCGCGAGCGUUGUCCGGAAUUAUUGGGCGUAAAGAGCGUGUAGGCUGUUCGGUAAGUCUGCCGUGAAAACCUGAGGCUCAACCUCGGGCGUGCGGUGGAUACUGCCGGGCUAGAGGACGGUAGAGGCGAGUGGAAUUCCCGGUGUAGCGGUGAAAUGCGCAGAUAUCAGGAAGAACACCCGUGGCGAAGGCGGUUCUCUGGGCCGGUACUGACACUGAGGAGCGAAAGCGUGGGUAGCAAACAGG
RNAcentral lists this ribosomal RNA (253 nucleotides) under uncultured bacterium. Its description in RNAcentral is "partial 16S ribosomal RNA". It matches the Rfam family "Bacterial small subunit ribosomal RNA", at positions 524 to 776 of the family's 1533-position model. The record is from RNAcentral.